This 32746-nucleotide long non-coding RNA is filed under the name Triticum aestivum (bread wheat). Its description in RNAcentral is "long non-coding RNA (TAES_LNC020664)". The record is from RNAcentral. Lineage: Eukaryota; Viridiplantae; Streptophyta; Magnoliopsida; Poales; Poaceae.
CGGAGCGUUGAGCUGUGGACGAAACAAUCUGAUGCUGCAGCAGAAUCCGAGUCAAACUACAAGUCCAAAGGUGUUACAUCACCUCCACUUGGGCCCAUUGGCCUUGUACGACCUAGAUUUAGUUUUAGGCUGCCUUGGGACGUCCUCCCACCUCCUUGGCCGCCACCCCUUGCUCCUAUAUAAGUAGAUCCAUCUAGUAGCUUUUCCUUGGGUUUUGUUUAGAUUAAAAGUUCGCCAUAGCUGCAACUUCGCGUACUUCGUUUGUGUUCAACGACCAGACAAAGGCGUCACAGAACCCCACCUUGAUCAAUAAAGCUUUCAUCUUAUAUUCGCAAUAUCCAGAUUGCAAUCUCAGUUUCUUGCUUGUUCUUCGUUUGCUCGCAGGAAACAGACCCUCGUGGUCAGGUUGAUCGUGCUCCGGCGUGGUCAAUAACCUCUCGGAGUUGGUUUAGCGAUUGCUAAGGCGCGACGUCCUCGCACGUUCGUAGUCGGAUCGUCAAAGUCGACUUCCACCAAAGCGAUAUCCAUCAUCUCAUCGAAAGACGGGACACCUUUGCCUCUAUCAUUUUUGGGUUUUGUUUCUUGUUCUACUAAUCAUGACAGGAUCCAGAGUCAAUUCAUGGGCUUUGUCGAUCGCGGGAGAUGUGCCACCACCUUUGCAAAUACCACAACCGUCACGAGAGGUACACAAACAUCCAAAUGCACAUGAUCAGGUUAAUGUAUCUAUACCACCAUUUAAUGGCCGUUUUAAACCUGCUUUAUAUAUUGAAUGGGAGUUCGACAUAAAAAAUAUAUUUGCUUCCCAUAAUUUCAAUGAACAUAAAAAGGUUAAGGUUGCGGUUGGUUCUUUCACUGGUUAUGCUUUGGUUUGGUGGAGUGAAUAUUGUCGGUUGCACCCUGAUUAUAUACCUACUACUUGGGAUGAUUUGAAACUUGCCAUGCGACAUACUUUCGUCCCUGCUUAUUAUACUCGUGACAUGAUUAAGAAGUUGCAACACUUAAAACAAGGUAGUGAAACUGUAACAAAAUAUUAUGAUGAUUUACAAACUACCUUGUUGCAUUCCUCUUUAGAAGAAAGUGAAGAUGAUUUUAUGGAUAGAUUUUGGGGAGGAUUAAACCGUGAUAUUCAAGAGAUACUAAUUCAUGAAGAGUGUUAUCCUAUGGACCAUUUGUUUCAUCUUGCUUGCAAAGCUGAACAGGAAAUAAAACGACGUGUUGGCCACGAGGAGAACAAGCGCACGGUGCACAUUCCAAGAGUUGAUAUGAUUGUUCCUUCAACUACUAGGCAUACUAUGACAACCACAUCCGUUGUUGUCAGGACUACAUCACCUCCACCAUGUGACACAUCGCCCCCGAGAGUGGCUACGUCAUCUGAGUUGAUCAUAAGAGGUAAUGACAAAGGUACUGAUCUUCCAUCUCUACAUGAGAAUGAUGAAUGCCUUGUCAAUUUGAAUGCACCAUCUGAUGAGCUACCCACUAUUUUGAUCACACCACCUAUUUUAGAGGACUACGUUGAUAAUUUGACUUUGCCAUGUGAUCAAACAACUGAAAUACCAACAAUUUUGAGUGCACCCAUUGAAUUAACUAUUGAUGCAAAAGAAUCAAUGUUUAAUCAUUUUGAUAUGACCUCUAAUCUUGGUGAUGAUUCUGUGUUGAAUGACUUAUUGCAUGUUUGCUUAUUUAAGCAUGUUGUAGCAUGUAAAUUUGAUGCAAGUAAGGUUUAUUCACCAAUGUUGGGAUGGUUUAAUGAUGAACAUUGUCAAUCUUUUGAAAUGAAUAAGAGCUUCACUUAUAUGUGCAAACUGAGUUGCAAUAUUUUCAUGCCUUCUACUUCUUGUGCUAAUCUUUUGGCCUUAGAUUUUAUGAACUAUGCAAGUUACUCAUCUAUUCAUGUGUCAUAUAUGCAAAAAUCAAGGGAAGUAAAAAUGGAUGACAUAUACAUAUACAACAUGUACACCUUGUCUCUUUUGUUAGCCACAUUUCAGAUUAAGCAACGCCGAGGACGGCUUUAUUUUCAAGAAGGGGAGGAUGAUGAGGACAUGACUACCUUGGAUAUGACCAAAAAUAUUGCAUAUAUGCAUAUUUGUCAGGUGAUUUCUAGUGCAAACUAUUCAAUAAUCUAUUUAUGUUAUCCAGAACAAAAAUACUUCACACACUUUUGUGUUUUGUCUAAUUGCAGGUGUAUGGGACAUUUGUACAAUCCACAUAUGAAGAUAAGGAACAAAGAGAUGUUUAUUUGCUGUCCAAAAAGUUCUCUCACGUCACUUUUGGCCCAAGAGAAGAUAGAGUCCAAGUGAUAGAGGCAAAGGUGUCCCGUCUUUCGAUGAGAUGGUGGAUUUCGCUUUGGUGGAAGUCGACUUUGACGAUCCGACUACGAACGUGCGAGGACGUCGCGCCUUAGCAAUCGCUAAACCAACUCCGAGAGGUUAUUGACCACGCCGGAGCACGAUCAACCUGACCACGAGGGUCUGUUUCCUGCGAGCAAACGAAGAACAAGCAAGAAACUAAGAUUGCAAUCUGGAUAUUGCGAAUAUAAGAUGAAAGCUUUAUUGAUCAAGGUGGGGUUCUGUGACGCCUUUGUCUGGUCGUUGAACACAAACGAAGUACGCGAAGUUGCAGCUAUGGCGAACUUUUAAUCUAAACAAAACCCAAAGUCUAAACGAUGCCCUAAGGGCUGUAUAUAUGGAGGAAGAGGGGGGGAAUUUCGUGGCCCUUGGUGGAGGGGUCCGAAAUCAACCAUAUCUCUUGUUUCCCCACACAUACAGACUCUAAAAAUAGCCUAUACUUAUGUAUUUCGAAAUUACAUGGGCCUGGCCCAAUAAUAAGGUGACGCAGCACCUAAAAUAGCCUCGGGACGAAAUUUAUGAAGUGGCAUCUUGUAUAUUUCGUCCAAGGCUUCAUGCACCCAUUAUGGUGGCUUCAAAGUCCUGAAAUCAUCACUUGUAACUCCGUUCUUGUUUCCCUUGCGCAUGCCAUCAUCUCCAUGCUUGUUCUUGCUCCAAUGUUCAUCCUUCUCCAAGCUAGGCCCUUCAUUUGUAAGCAAAACAAAUGUAUCCAAUUUAGGCAGCAUCAUAUUCUCAUGAACAUUAGAAUCAUUACCAAGAAACGAAAGUACCUGGUAAUUUAGUUGGCGUGCACGAGCUCUAGUAAUUGGUCCAGUAUGUAUAGCAGCAGGGGCUGUGGGUGUAACAAUUGUAUUGAUGUCCUCAUCAAUAGGAUAACACUCUUCAUGAAUUAGUAUCUCUUGAAUAUCGCGGUUUAAUCCUCCCCAAAAUCUAUCCAUAAAAUCAUCUUCACUUUCUUCUAAAGAGGAAUGCAACAAGGUAGUUUGUAAAUCAUCAUAAUAUUUUGUUACAGUUUCACUACCUUGUUUUAAGUGUUGCAACUUCUUAAUCAUGUCACGAGUAUAAUAAGCAGGGACGAAAGUAUGUCGCAUGGCAAGUUUCAAAUCAUCCCAAGUAGUAGGUAUAUAAUCAGGGUGUAACCGACAAUAUUCACUCCACCAAACCAAAGCAUAACCAGUGAAAGAACCAACCGCAACCUUAACCUUUUUAUGUUCAUUGAAAUUAUGGGAAGCAAAUAUAUUUUUUAUGUCGAACUCCCAUUCAAUAUAUAAAGCAGGUUUAAAACGGCCAUUAAAUGGUGGUAUAGAUACAUUAACCUGAUCAUGUGCAUUUGAAUGUUUGUGCACCUCUCGUGACGGUUGUGGUAUUUGCAAAGGUGGUGGCACGUCUCCCGCGAUCGACAAAGCCCAUGAAUUGACUCUGGAUCCUGUCAUGAUUAGUAGAACAAGAAACAAAACCCAAAAAUAAUGUUCCUAUAACUACUAGGAUGUGGUGGUAAAACGCUCACAGUAAAGCAAAUAUCAAUGUCUUACAAGUUCUUACCAUGCAACAGGCGGUGAUCGGCAACCAGCGGUGUCAAGUAACUCCGAAUAUUGAGUAAAGCGAUUGCCAGGGGAGCAUACUAUACACGGUGUAGAAAUAUGUGGAGUUGGGUUGGCUAUAUAUGGUAGCAAAAGAUUAGCAAUAAUCAAUUCAAAGAUGCAAUGUUGAAUAAACGCUCAACGACGGUACUGUGCUGGUCCUAGGCUAGACCGGACUAGAGACGCGAGCCUAGAACACUAAUGAGGUCACGGCGUAGCACAACUAGCAUCAAUGAAGGAUAGUAAGUAGCUCUUGACAGCAAGAUAUAAGUGAAGAUCACAACGGCAGUGAAGAUAAUGAUGAAAAACAACUGCCAAGCAGGAUAUACAACAACUCUCUCUCCAACUUUCCUCUUAAAAAGUUUGAGACAAUUUUCUGAUAAAUUCUUUCAAAAAAUGCUACUAACUCAAGCUUUCCAAUGCAAAAAGAAUCACUCAAUUCCGAGUUGAUAUGAGGAGUCAAAGAAUUCUAAAACUGGCCUGAAAAAUUGGAACAAGUUGUGUUCACGAACUUCGGAGGACAAAAAGACCUAUUUAGAAGCCGAUCUUGAGGUGUCAAAUAUUGAACUAGCUUCUGCAACUAUUUAUAUGCGGCUCGUCGCUAGCUUCAAUUUGAGUACUCACGGAGCCAAAACGGACUUCGUAUGAGGAAGAUACACCUGUUUUACUGAACAGUGCGCAAAACAGAUUCCAAUCCGAAUUCAGGUACGAGAUUGAUUCUAGAUAGAUUCAAUUUUUUUUUCUUCUCUCUUUUUUUUUCUCACGCUUUUUUUUUCUUUUUCUUCUCUCUCUUUUUCUUUUUUUUUCCUUUUUUCUCUUUUUUUUUCUCUAUCUUUUUUUUUUCCCUCUUUCCAAGACAAACUAGAUAAGAUGCAGAUUCGAUCAGGCGAAGAUGUGAGUGACUCAACUAUGAUUAUGACAAUAAACAGUGCGUAGCACGUGGUGGAAAUUGGUGGAUUGGAUGGUGGACAGCGGAUGGGAUAAUGAUGCAGCGGCUGCGUGACUAAUGUGAACAGAACUCGAAACUCUAAAGGAACUAGACACUAAGACCAGCAACUCGACACGACGAUGCAACCGAUAAUUCAACUAUGCAAGCAAUGAAAAGAAAAUUGCAAAGGUUCAGACUGGCUUGGACCAAGGAUGAAUAGAUCUAACUCUUUUUUGUGGCUUUUUCUUGGACAAUAGGUAAGAAAAUAAAUCUAAUCUAGGAAAACUGGAAAUUCUCACCGAGCAACCUGAAAACUGAUACCACUUGAUAGAGGCGAGGUGUCCCGAUCUUUCGAUGAGAUGAUAACUAUCGAUUUGGUGGAGAUGACUUUGACGAUCCGACUACAAACGUGCACGACGUUGUGCCUUAGCAAUCGCUAAACCAACCCCGGGAGGUUAUUGACCACGCCGGAGCACAAUCAACCUGACCACGAAGGUCUAUUCCUGCAAGCAAUCGAAGAACAAGCAAGAAUAUGAUAAAAGCAAUCCGAAUAUUGCGAGUAUAUAUGAAGUAUUGAUAAAGGUGGGGAUCCGUAAGCGGUCUUGGUCUGGUCGUUGGACACAAACGAAGUACACGAAGUUGCAAUGGCUAACUUUUAACUAAACAAAUCCCAAGGAAAAAGCUACUAGAUGGAUCUACUUAUAUAGGAGCAAGGGGUGGCGGCCAAGGAGGUGGGAGGACGUCCCAAGGCAGCCUAAAACUAACCCUAGGUCGUACAAGGCUGAUGGGCCCAAGUGGAGGUGAUGUAACACCUUUGGACUUGUAGUUUGACUCGGAUUCUGCUGCAGCAUCAGAUUGUUUCGUCCACAACUCAACGCUCCGGACGAAUUUGAAGGUGAUUCCAAUUGGGUUGGAAAGUGCACGAAAUCUAGUUUCCAACAAAAAAAGAAUCACCCAAUUCGGAGUCCGUAUGAAAAACUUGUGUCCGUUUUGAGUCAGGUGUGUCUGUGCAGUCCGAAUCUGAAUCCAGAACGUGAGAGACUUGGACUCUAUCUUCUCUUGGGCCAAAAGUGACGUGAGAGAACUUUUUGGACAGAAAAUAAACAUCUCUUUCUUCCUUAUCUUCAUAUGUGGAUUGUACAAAUGUCCCAUACACCUGCAAUUAGACAAAACACAAAAGUGUGUGAAGUAUUUUUGUUCUGGAUAACAUAAAUAGAUUAUUGAAUAGUUUGCACUAGAAAUCACCUGACAAAUAUGCAUAUAUGCAAUAUUUUUGGUCAUAUCCAAGGUAGUCAUGUCCUCAUCAAACGCUGUGCAGGCCCCGCAGGUGCGCUCUUGGCAGAUAAUGGUGGUUGUGCCUGUUUUCUUGUAUCACGGCUGGAGGUGGCACCGGAUGGAGGUGCUGGUGCAGUUGAAGUAGAAGAUGCACGUGGUGUCCAUGAUGAAGGUCGGCCUGCAGAAAAGUUAGUUCGCCCCAAUGCUUGUCGAUCCUGCACUUCACGUUCAGCUUUACAAGCAAGAUGGAAUAAACGAGUAAUAUUAGUAUACUCCUUAUAGUCUAGAAUGGUCUGAAUCUCUCUAUUUAAUCCACCCAGAAAACGUGCAAGCAUAGCUUCAUUCUCCUCAACAAUACCACAUCUAAUCAUGCCAGUUUGUAAUUCCUGAUAAUAUUCUUCUACAGAAUUUUUCCCUUGUCUUAAACGCUGCAAUUUUUGAAGCAAUUCACGUUGAUAAUAUGGUGGAACCCAACGCGUACGCAUAGCAGUUUUCAAAGCAGCCCAAGUAGUUGGAAUAGGAUAUAAUCUACUGAUGAGGACAUGACUACCUUGGAUAUGACCAAAAAUAUUGCAUAUAUGCAUAUUUGUCAGGUGAUUUCUAGUGCAAACUAUUCAAUAAUCUAUUUAUGUUAUCCAGAACAAAAAUACUUCACACACUUUUGUGUUUUGUCUAAUUGCAGGUGUAUGGGACAUUUGUACAAUCCACAUAUGAAGAUAAGGAAGAAAGAGAUGUUUAUUUGCUGUCCAAAAAGUUCUCUCACGUCACUUUUGGCCCAAGAGAAGAUAGAGUCCAAGUCUCUCACGUUCUGGAUUCAGAUUCGGACUGCACAGACAUACCUGACUCAAAACGCACACAAGUUUUUCAUACGGACUCCAAAUUGGGUGAUUCUUUUUUUGUUGGAAACUAGAUUUCGUGCACUUUCCAACCCAAUUGGAAUCACCUUCAAAUUUGAUAGAGGCGAGGUGUCCCGAUCUUUCGAUGAGAUGAUAACUAUCGAUUUGGUGGAGAUGACUUUGACGAUCCGACUACAAACGUGCACGACGUUGUGCCUUAGCAAUCGCUAAACCAACCCCGAGAGGUUAUUGACCACGCCGGAGCACAAUCAACCUGACCACGAAGGUCUAUUCCUGCAAGCAAUCGAAGAACAAGCAAGAAUAUGAUAAAAGCAAUCCGAAUAUUGCGAGUAUAUAUGAAGUAUUGAUAAAGGUGGGGAUCCGUAAGCGGUCUUGGUCUGGUCGUUGGACACAAACGAAGUACACGAAGUUGCAAUGGCUAACUUUUAACUAAACAAAUCCCAAGGAAAAAGCUACUAGAUGGAUCUACUUAUAUAGGAGCAAGGGGUGGCGGCCAAGGAGGUGGGAGGACGUCCCAAGGCAGCCUAAAACUAACCCUAGGUCGUACAAGGCUGAUGGGCCCAAGUGGAGGUGAUGUAACACCUUUGGACUUGUAGUUUGACUCGGAUUCUGCUGCAGCAUCAGAUUGUUUCGUCCACAACUCAACGCUCCGGACGAAUUUGAAGGUGAUUCCAAUUGGGUUGGAAAGUGCACGAAAUCUAGUUUCCAACAAAAAAAGAAUCACCCAAUUCGGAGUCCGUAUGAAAAACUGUGUGCGUUUUGAGUCAGGUAUGUCUGUGCAGUCCGAAUCUGAAUCCAGAACGUGAGAGACUUGGACUCUAUCUUCUCUUGGGCCAAAAGUGACGUGAGAGAACUUUUUGGACAGCAAAUAAACAUCUCUUUCUUCAUUAUCUUCAUAUGUGGAUUGUACAAAUGCCCCAUACACCUGCAAUUAGACAAAACACAAAAGUGUGUGAAGUAUUUUUGUUCUGGAUAAUAUAAAUAGAUUAUUGAAUAGUUUGCACUAGAAAUCACCUGACAAAUAUGCAUAUAUGCAAUAUUUUUGGUCAUAUCCAAGGUAGUCAUGUCCUCAUCAAGUCUCGUUGGCUUGUGAUCCUGGCAUGGUUAGCAGCAAUAGAAACACACAAGAAUAUGAUCCUACAGACUACUAACAAGAGGUGGUGGUGGGUGUCACAAAUCUGUCAAGCAAAUCUCAAAUUCUUACCAGUUCUUACCUAGCAGCAGGCGGUGAUCGGCAACCGUUGUAGUCAAAAACUCUCAAAGCUUGGAUAGAGCGAUUACCAGGGAGAGUCAAACGCACGACGUAGAUGUAUGUGGAGCUGGGAAGGCUUAUAAUAUGGUAGCAAAAAGGGUCAGCAAUAAUCAAUUCAGAGAUGCAAAGUUGAAUAAACGCUCAACGACGGUACUGUGCUGGUCCUAGGCUAGACUGUGCUAGAGACGCGAGCCUAGAACACCAACAAAAUCACGGCGUGGCACGUAAACAAGGGAAAAGUACACUCUGGAUUUCUUUUUCGCUCUUUUUUUUGCGUUGUUUUUUUUGCGAAAAGUCACUAUAAUGGCGAGUGUCUCAAAACUCUUCCUAGGUCAAACUGAUAGGAUGGGCACGAAAUUUUUUCGACUGCCCGGACCCAAAAACUGGAAACGGGUCAAAAAAAACUUCCUAUAAUGGCACCUGUCUCAAAACACUCAGAAACACCUAAAAAUAGGAUUAGCCAGAAAUUUUUUCGAAAAAUGCGUUUUCGAAAAAUUUUGGGCCUAAACGGAGGGUGGUUUCCAGACUCUUUUUUUUUCGAAACCUACUCCGGCAAGGAAACACGAAUCGGAAUCUAGAUGGAUCUCGAAAACAAACCAAAUAUGACAAGAACUCGGAUUGGUGGUGGAUAUAUGGUAGUAGAUGGCAGCGGUGGUGGUAUAUGACAGCGGUGGUGGUAUAUGGAUACGGAUUCGAAGCGGUUGCGGAUAAGCGGCGGUGGUAGAUGGUAGGGGCGAUGAUGAUGGUGCGGCGGCGGCGUGACAACUUAUGACCAGAACUCGAAACUCUAAAAGACUAGACUCUAAGACCAGCAACUAGACACGACGAUGCAACCGCAAAUUCAACAAAGCAAAACCCUAAAAAGAUUAUGCAAAGGCUCAGAUUGGUUCGGAUAUGAUGAACUAACCCUAAUUUUUUUUUCCGAAACCUACUCCGGCAAGGUAACACAAAUCGGAAAAUAGAUGGAUCUCAAAAACAAACCUAAUAUGACAAGAACUCGGAUUGGUGGUGGAUAUAUGGUGGUAGAUGGCAGCGGUGGUAGUAUAUGACAGCGGUGGUGGUAUAUGGAUACGGAUUCGAAGCGGUGGUGGUAGAUGGCAGGGGCAAUGAUGAUGGUGCGGCGGUGGCGUGACAACUUAUGACCAGAACUCGAAACUCUAAAAGACUAGACUCUAAGACCAGCAACUAGACACGACGAUGCAACCGCAAAUUCAACAAAGCAAAACCCUAAAAAGAUUAUGCAAAGGCUCAGGUUGGUUCGGAUAUGAUGAACUAACCCUAAUUUUUUUUGUGGCUUUUUCGUGGACUGUAGGUAUGAAGAACAGACUCGAUCUAAACUACGAAAAACUGUAAAAUCUCACCGAGCAACCUGGAAAUCUGAUACCACUUGAUAGAGGCAAAGGUGUCCCGUCUUUCGAUGAGAUGAUGGAUAUCGCUUUGGUGGAAGUCGACUUUGAUGAUCCGACUACGAACGUGCGAGGACGUCGCGCCUUAGCAAUCGCUAAACCAACUCCGAGAGGUUAUUGACCACGCCGGAGCACGAUCAACCUGACCACGAGGGUCUGUUUCCUGCGAGCAAACGAAGAACAAGCAAGAAACUAAGAUUGCAAUCUGGAUAUUGCGAAUAUAAGAUGAAAGCUUUAUUGAUCAAGGUGGGGUUCUGUGACGCCUUUGUCUGGUCGUUGAACACAAAUGAAGUACGUGAAGUUGCAGCUAUGGCGAACUUUUAAUCUAAACAAAACCCAAAGUCUAAAUGGUGCCCUAAGGGCUGUAUAUAUGGAGGAAGAGAGGGGGAAUUUCGUGGCCCUUGGUGGAGGGGUCCGAAAUCAACCCUAUCUCUUGUAUCCCCACACAUACGGACUCUAAAAAUAGCUUAUACUUAUGUAUUUCGAAAUUACAUGGGCCUGGCCCAAUAAAAAGGUGACGCAGCACCUAUAAUAGCCUCGGGACGAAAUUUAUGAAGUGGCAUCUUGUAUAUUUCGUCCAAGGCUUCAUGCACCCAUUAUGGUGGCUUCAAAGUCCUGAAAUCAUCACUUGUAACUCCGUUCUUGUUCCCCUUGCGCAUGCCAUCAUCUCCAUGCUUGUUCUUGCUCCACUGUUCAUCCUUCUCCAAGCCAGGCCCUUCAUUUGUAAGCAAAACAAAUGUAUCCAAUUUAGGCAGCAUCAUAUUCUCAUGAACAUUAGAAUCAUUACCAAGAAACGAAAGUACCUGAUAAUUUAAUUGGCGUGCGCGAGCUCUAGUAAUUGGUCCCGUAUAUGUAGCAGUAGGGGCUGUGGGUGUAACAAUGGUAUUGAUGUCCUCAUCAGAAGCCGGAUAAUCCGGGCUGGUCCGGAUGAUCCAGGUGGAGGCCCGGAUGAUCCGGAGACUCGGCUGGUGGAGGCGCAGGGCCGGAUGUCCGGCUGGCGGUCCGGACAUCCGGGCAGGGUCCGGAUGAUCCGGCUUCAGGGGGGAGGCUUUUGUAGUCUUCGGUCGAAUUAGCCGGAUCGUCCGGGCCGGGGUCCGGAUCGUCCGGGCUCUGUCCGGAUUGUCCGGGCCGCCGUCCGGAUCGUCCGGCCACCCUGGUCCUUGGUGCUUUUUCCUCUCCAUCUUCAUGCAUGUCUUCCGCUUCCGGUUCUCCUUGCUUCCUAGCUUCUUCACGGUGAACUCCUUGGUACCUGAGUAUGCAUAGCGUUUCCGUUUGAGGUAGUAACCAUGUCUCAUGUGAAUCGAAAGGGAAUUGUGAGAGGAGUGAUGUCACCUCGGUUUCAAGAGCUCUUGCACGUGCUCGAGUCAUAGGUCCUUGAGGGGUUGGAUGUGUUGCUGUAGAGUCCAUGGGGAUGAUGGAAGGAUGCUCCGCAUCAUAUCCCCUCCCUUUGAAAGGAUUCGACCUCGGAUCUAGAUCUUCAUCACCAUGGAAAGGCGAGAGGUCUUUGACGUUGAAGGUGUCGCUCACGUUGUACUUGUUGCUUGGUAGGUCGAGCUUGUAGACGUUGUUGUUGUAGCGUGCUAACAACUUGAAGGGUCCAUCGGCUCGAGGUAGUAGUUUGGACUUGCGUUCGUUGGGGAAGCGUUCCUUGCGAAGGUGUAGCCACACGAGAUCGCCUAUGUUGAAGAUCAUGGGUUGUUUGUUGAUGUUGAGCUUGGUCGCUAGUCAUUGUACUUGGUGCUCGAUGGUGUUUCUUGUAUCUUCAUGCAUCUUCUUGAUGUAGCUUGCAUGGGCAAUUGCGUCGAGAUUGGUGCGCUCUUGUAGAGGAAGAGGUAGAAUGUCCAAUGGGGACAAUGGGUUGAAGCCGUAGAUGACCUCGAAGGGGGACUUGCCGGUAGUCGUAUGUCUUGCGCGGUUGUAGGCGUACUCGGCGAUGGGUAGACACGCCUCCCACUCCUUGAUGUUCUUCUUGAUCAACACGCGAAGUAGAGUGGAUAGUGUCCGGUUCGUCACCUCCGUUUGGCCGUCGGUUUGAGGAUGGUAUGCGGAUGAGAACAAGAGCUUGAUUCCGAGCUUGGCGCAUAGAGUCUUCCAAAAGUAACUCAAGAACUUGACGUCGCGGUCGGAGACGAUUGUCUUUGGUACUCCAUGGAGGCGCAAGAUUUCCCUACAAAAGAGAUUUGCAAUAUGUGAAGCAUCGUCUAUCUUGUUGCAAGGAAUGAAAUGUGCCAUCUUAGAAAAUCGGUCCACAACGACAAACACGGAAUCCUUUCCAUGUUGAGUUCUAGGCAAACCAAGUACAAAAUCCAUACUAAUGUCUUCCCAAGGUUGAUAAGGAAUAGGAAGUGGCAUGUAAAGACCAUGGGAUUGAGCUUUUGACUUAGCUUUGCGACAUGUAGAGCAUCGUGUGGUGAAGCGUGAGACAUCGCGGAACAUCUUUGGCCAAAAGUAGUUCUUGGAGAGCGUGGCGAAAGUCUUGUCGCGUCCAAAGUGUCCCAUGAGUCCACCUCCAUGAGCCUCUUGCAAAAGUAGCAAACGAAGAGAAGACUCGGGAAUGCAUAGUUUGUUAGCUCUCAUAAGAUAACCAUCCUUGAUGUAAUAUCGUUCCCAAGAUGUAUGCGUCAAACAUUUAGCAUAAUGAGGUGCAAAAGAUGGAUCAUUGGCAUACAAGUCUUUUAUGUGUUCAAAGCCAAUGACAUUCAACUCAAGUUUAAUCACAAGCGUGCAUAUGCGAGAAAGUGCAUCGGCAACUACAUUUUCCUUACCCUUAAUGUACCUAAUCACAUAUGGGAAAGAUUCAAUAAAUUCACUCCAUUUUGCAUGACGCUUGUUCAAUUUAGUUUGACCUUUUAAAUACUUAAGCGUUUCAUGAUCGGUAUGGAUGACAAAUUCAUGAGGUCUAAGAUAAUGUUCCCAAACAUGUAGGACACGCACUAAAGCAUACAAUUCUUUGUCAUAUACGGGAUAGUUAAGUUGAGCACCGGAGAGUUUUUCACUAAAAUAAGCAAUGGCUCGUUUUUCUUGCAUCAAAACUCCGCCAAUUCCGGUACCACUUGCAUCACAAUGAACCUCAAAAGUUUUGUCAAAAUUGGGCAAAGCAAGAAUCGGAGCAUGAGUAAGCAAAGACUUGAGCUCAUCAAAAGCGGUUGAUUGCAAAGUUCCCCAAACAAAAGGAGUAUUCUUCUUGCUCAAGGCAUGCAAAGGAGCGGCUAUUGUGCUAAAGUUUUUCACAAAUCGGCGAUAAAAUCCUGCAAGGCCAAGGAAACUACGCACUUGUUGCAAAUUGGUUGGUUGGGGCCAAGUUUUAAUUGCCUCAAUUUUAGUUUCGUCAACAUGAACUCCUUUUGAAGAGACAACAAAUCCCAAGAAAACCACUUUGUCAACACCAAACGUGCAUUUUUUCAAAUUUGCAUAAAGGCUUUCCUUGCGAAGGGUUUGCAAAACAGAUUUAACAUGAUUAAUAUGGUCUUUCAUUGUUUUGCUAAACACAAGAAUGUCAUCAAAGUAAACCACAACAAAUACUCCAAUGUAAGGUCUAAGCACAUGAUGCAUAAGACGCACGAAGGUACCGGGAGCUUCCGAUAAACCCAUAGGCAUAACUAACCACUCAUAUAAGCCAAAUUUGGUUUUAAAAGCAGUUUUCCAUUCAUCACCUUCUUGAAUGCGAAUUUGGUAAUAGCCACUUUUAAGAUCUAUUUUUGAGAAAAAGUUGGCUCCACUAAGUUCAUCAAGCAUAUCAUCUAAGCGAGGAAUGGGAUGCCUAUAGCGAAUGGUAAUAGCAUUUAUAGGUCUACAAUCGGAACACAAGCGGAAACUUCCAUCGGGCUUAGGCACAAGUAUAACGGGAACGGCACAAGGGCUUAAGCUUUCACGUACAUGACCGUUGUCGAUGAGUUGUUGUACUUGCCGUUGAAUCUCCUUGGUUUCUUCGGGAUUGACUCGGUAUGGAGCUUUGUUUGGAAGUGGCACUCCGAGGAUGAGGUCGAUUCGAUGCUCAAUGCCUCGUAGAGGAGGUAGACCCGGAGGUAGCUCAUCAGGGAAAACAUCUUGGAAUUCCUGCAAAAGAGAUUGAAACACUAAAGGUAGCUCGUGAGAAGUGUUAGUUUUUGGUUCUCCAUCCUUGCACACAAGGACAAAGUGCAUCACACUCGAUGGGUUCUCACACACUUCUCUUAUCUCACUUUUGGUGGCGAAUAGGAUGAGGUUUUUCUCUCUAGGCGAAGAGGCGCUCAUAUUUGGCUUGUGGCUCUCACUCACUUUUGGGUGGGUGACUUUCUCACUCUUCUCUCUAUGGUGGGUGGCUUGCUUGUCGGUUAUCACUUGACUAGGAGACAUAGGUCGUAGCACAUACUCCUUCCCUUUCAUCUUGAAGCUAUAUUGAUUGGUUCGCCCAUUGUGGAUGACACCACGGUCGAAUUGCCAUGGUCGACCAAGGAGGUGGCAAAUGGUCAUUGGGACCACAUCACAUUCCAAAGUGUCUUCAUAAGCACCUAUUUGGAAAGAGACCUGGACCGUAUGCUCGACUCGUAUAGUGCCGGAGUCACUUAGCCAUUGAACCUUGUAGGGGUGCGGGUGCUUCUUCUUGAUCAAUUGAAGCUUGGAGCAUAGUUCUUCACUUGCCAAGUUGUGGCAACUACCUCCAUCGAUGAUGACCUUGACGGACCUUCCAUUGAUGUCGGCCUUUGUGUGGAAGAUGUGGCAUCGUUGGUCUUCUUCUUGUUGAUGCUGAAGUGUCAAGACCUUGGAGACAACAAGAGCGGGGCUCGUAUCUUCAUCACAAAAGACUUGAUCAUCUUCAUCCUCGUUCAUGCGCUGUUGCAUGGCCACUUGCUCAAUAGCUUCCAUUUCAUCUUCACUCAUUGAGUCGUAGGUGCCGUCGUCGUUGAGGAUCAUGGUGCGCUUGUUGGUGCAUUCAUAGGACUUGUGGCCUCGGCCGCCGCAAGUGAAACACUUGAAGGAGCUUGUUUUGAUGGUCUCAUCGGUCGGAGUAGAUGAUGAAGCACGCGGCUUGAAGUUGCUUGUAGUAGGAGGAAGACGACUUGAACUUGUGGAAGUUUUCUUGUAACUUGACUUGUCGUCGUUGCUUGGAGAAGGUUUGGUUGAUGUCGAAGUUGGAGGAGUUGUUGAAGCUUGGAUGUUGGAGAAGCCGUGUGUCUUGUAGGAGUACUUGGCGUACUUGAAGUCAUCUUGCACUUGACGUUCCGCCUUUGUAGCUUGAUGCACGAGCUCAAUGAGGUUGGAGUAGGGUUGGAAGUCGGCGAUCUUCUUGAUGGGAUGAUUGAGUCCAUUCAAGAAUCGUGCCAUUGUUUGCUCAUCAUCUUCCGUGACAUUGGCUCAAAUCAUGGCAAUCUCCAUUUCCUUGUAGUAUUCUUCAACACUCUUUGUUCCUUGCUUGAGGAGUUGUAGCUUCUUGAAGAGAUCGCGGUUGUAGUAGGUUGGCACAAAACGUGCUCGCAUGACAUCCUUCAUUUGAGUCCAAGUGGUGAUUGGAGGUUCACCUCUUGCUUCCCGGCGUUCAAGGACUUGUUCCCACCAUAUGAGCACAUAGUCUUGGAACUCAAGUGAUGCCAUAGCGAUCUUCUUCUCUUCCUCAUAGUUGUGCAAACGAAAGAUUUUGUCGACCUUCAAUGCCCAUGAGAGGUACUCUUCCGGAUCAUUGCUUCCCUUGAACUUGGGCAUUGUGAACUUGAGCUUGCCAUAGCGUUGCUCUUCAUUGUGUUGUUGGCGAUGGUGAUGAUGACGUCCUUGGCGUGGAGGGUAGUCAUCCUCAUGUUGCUCUUGGCGCGGAGGAAGUCCAUGAUCAACUUGCUCUUGUUGAACUUGAGGUUGAAGGGGAGCUUGACGAGCUUGAGGAGGGGCUUGUGGAGCUUGCCGUUGCGCACGCGGAUGGUAGUUCCUCUCUUGGAUUUCUUCUCAAAGGGCUUCCUCUUGAUUGCGCCGUUCGCGAUUGCGGUUGGCGAUGGCUCGACUUGAUUCUUGAAGGGCACAUUGUGCCUCAAGCGUUUGCGCUUCUCGUUGUUGUUGUUGAAGACGUUGAGCCUCGGCGUCUUGUUGUUCUUGGUGUAGACGCACUCGUUCUUCUUCUUGUCGCCGUAGUCGUUGUCGUUCUUGAGCUUGAGCAAAAGCCACUUGGUUUGAUGGAGGACGAGGGACUUGCUCAUCGACUUGCUCUUGUGGAUGCUUGUCUUGUAGUGGGUUCCGAGAUGCAUGACGGUCUUGACGCGCGGCUCAUCGAAGAAUGGUCGAUGACGGUGUACUUGAGCCGGAGAAGGUGUCAUCGGGGUGUCGACUCGAGCGGCUCCGUCUUGAGGAGGAAGAAGUGGAAUGAUGCCGGUUCCUCAUCAAGGCGCGGAUCUCAUCCAUUCUUGCAUCAUUUUCUUGCUUGUGAGAGUCGAACUUGUCGUCGAAGUAGUCUCUUGUACGUUGCUCGGAGAGUCGCAAGUCGGUGGCGAGGUUGUCGAUGCGGUCGCUCAUAGCUUGUUGCUCUUGGUGUAACGCCCUUUGAGCACCAAAGAGGUGGCUCUUUGUGACGAAUGAUGACAUGUCGUCGCCGUUCUCGAUGAGAGGUGGAUUUGUAGAAGAACUUGGCCUAUCCAUCAUACCAAGUAAAAUUGUGAGUGGUAGAAGGAGAAGAACUAAUACCAAUGUACCUUUGACCUAAGUUGAAGAUGAAUCAAGUUCACUCAAAUGUGGACAAUGAAAUAGCACUAUUGGUACCAAUCCUUGUCGAUUCUCACACCUACACAAGUAAAAGCUUUUGGUGGAGCUUGGUUAGGAUGGUGGCACAAAAUUGAUUGCAAUUGUUAGCUUGACUAAAAAAUGUUGAAAAGGAUUCGCAAAUUCGCAAAUGUAACAAGUAGACCAAGCAAGUAGUGGUACACGGAAACACACACGCAAAUAGAUAAAUGGGAUUGUGCAAACCAAAAGUGAGCCAAAAUGUGGAAUCCACGAAAAUGCUCUUGUUGCACAAUACUAGAGAGACGCUAGCACGAUUGCACAAUAGGCGGAUACGGAGCUUGUGCACAACCUACUAGGCAAAAAUGCAAUGAUCUCUAUCCCAAGUAUGCUAUAUGUAUGGUAUUUCGGUGCAAUGAUCCAAGAUGAUCUUAUAUGACAAUCUUAAUGUUGUAUGAUGCUAUGCUUCUUGCUCAUAAGCUCGUUGCUUAUCUUUCCUCUUUGCUUAAAAGCUUGAGUGGCUCUUUCUCUUGUGAGCUCUUUUCUUAUGCAAACUUCACGAACCAAGAUAGCAAUUGUGUAUGCGAUGACAACUUUGUGACACACAAGUUGAUUCUGAGAUAUGCACCAGGAUGAUAUAUAUGAUAUGGGGUAUGCUUACUAAUGUGCACAAGUCACGUUGCCGGCAAUACUCAAUGGCUAGUCUCGAUGGGUAAGCAACGCAAAAGAUGGUAUAGGAUGGUUAUCAAUGCAAUUGCGAGGUAUGACAAAGAUGUCGUCGAAGUUACCGUCCGUAGCGAAGAUGAGUAGUCGACGAAAAGGAGCGGUAGUUGUUGAUGUCGCACCGCGCCUAAAUAGCCGAAACACAAAAGGACACGGAAAUAUCACUCAAAUUGUCGAACCCAAAGUCGAAUGGUAGUACGGAGGUUGUGUUGCUGGGGUUUGGCAGGUGGAAGUGGUGGUGGUUGGGGUGGUGGAGGAGGACUGCAAAACUGCAGUUUCGGCAGAGGAAGCCGGAUGAUCCAGGCCAGGAGCCGGAUGAUCCGGGCGUGUCCGGAUGAUCCGGGUCGAGGUCCGGAUGAUCCGGGCAGGUCAAUCUCGCUCGGGAACUGCUCGGGAAGAACACGAAAACGGGGAGAAAUUUGAUGAUUUCGCGGAUUUUGGAUGGAUUUCUAGGUGGAGAAGGUGGGGAAAAGCAAGAUCCACGAGUUACACACCGAAUCCACGGAUCAAAAUCAACAAAACAUCAUCAAAACUAACAAAUCACAAAAGAAUUUGGGGUUAUUUUUUUGUGGGGAUUUUCGGAUUUAGGACGAAAACAACAAAAUCAAGCUAGAAAAAGAGGGGUAGGGCCUCCAAAACGUGAUCAACGUGGCUCAUGAUACCAUAAUGAUGUAGGGUGGAACCCUAUAGCGUCGAUCUUUCACGUUUGGAGUGGAUCCUACGGGGAGACACGAAGAACACGCGGAAGCACAAAAGGAAAACACGGGGAAAACGAGAGAGAAUCACUCAACCAACAAGGAAUCGAUCACACAAGUGCUAGAUCACCACACACAUAAGUGAUACAUAUGAUCCACAAUCAACAAAGGGAAAGGAUACAACGGAAUCGUUCUUCUCCAAGAGGAGGCCUUGAUGUUCUUCCCUAAAGAGGGGUCUUGAAUCCGCUUGGGGAUCUUCUCCGGAGAGGUCCUGAUCUCCGAGGAGAAGUAUCCAAGUGGAUGAGCAAAGGCUCUCACACAAACAUGAGCUAAUCCAAUGCUAAGUCUCAAAAGGAGGAGGAAGAGUCCUAUUUAUAGGCUAGGGGGCGAAGGGGUACACGGGCUCAGCCCAACACGCGCACACAGGCGCUGGCCGGAUGAUCCGGGUCCGAAGCCGGAUGAUCCGGGCUGGUCCGGAUGAUCCGGGUGGAGGCCCGGAUGAUCCGGAGACUCGGCUGGUGGAGGCGCAGGGCCGGAUGUCCGGCUGGCAGUCCGGACGUCCGGGCAGGGUCCGGAUGAUCCGGGACGGGCUCUGGAUGAUCCGGCUUCAGGGGGGAGGCUUCUGUAGUCUUCGGUCGAAUUAGCCGGAUCGUCCGGGCCGGGGUCCGGAUCGUCCGGGCUCUGUCUGGAUCGUCCGGGUCGCCGUCCGGAUCGUCCGGCCACCCUGGUCCUUGGUGCUUUUUCCUCUCCGUCUUCAUGCAUGUCUUCCGCUUCCGGUUCUCCUUGCUUCCUAGCUUCUUCACGGUGAACUCCUUGGUACCUGAGUAUGCAUAGCGUUUCCGUUUGAGGUAGUAACCAUGUCUCAUGUGAAUCGAAAGGGAAUUGUGAGAGGAGUGAUGUCACCUCGGUUUCAAGAGCUCUUGCACGUGCUCGAGUCAUAGGUCCUUGAGGGGUUGGAUGUGUUGCUGUAGAGUCCAUGGGGAUGAUGGAAGGAUGCUCCGCAUCACAAAGUGUCCCAUUAAUCCUCCUCCAUGUGCCUCCUGCAACAACAAAAGACGAACGGAGCUAGCUGGAAUGCAUAGCUUGUUAGCACGAAACACAAAUCCAUCGUUAAGAACGAACUUGUUCCAAGUUCUCCCUUCCUUACAAUUCUGCAAUAUAUCUUUAAAUUCAGCAUCAUGAACGUAUUGAUCUUUGAUGGUCUCCAAACCAAAUAUUUUAAAGUCAAGUUGUGAAAGCAUAGUAUAACGACGAGACAAGGCAUCAGCAAUAACAUUUUCUUUACCCUUCUUGUGUUUAAUGACAUAAGGGAAAGUCUCAAUGAAUUCAACCCAUUUAGCAUGUCUACGGUUCAGUUUUGCUUGACUUUUAAUGUGUUUCAAAGAUUCAUGAUCAGAAUGUAUAACAAAUUCCUUGGGCCAUAAAUAAAGUUGCCAUGUUUCUAAGGUCCGAACAAGAGCAUAUAAUUCUUUAUCAUAAGUAGAAUAGUUCAGACUAGGCCCACUCAAUUUUUCAAAAAAGUAUGCAACAUGUUUUCCAUCUUGUAAUAACACACCUCCUAAUCCAAUUCCACUAGCAUCACAUUCAAGCUCAAAAGUCUUAUUGAAAUUAGGAAGUUGGAGUAAAGGAGCAUGUGUCAACUUAUCUUUCAAUACCGUGAAAGCUUCCUCCUGUGCGGUACCCCAAACAAAAGGCACAUCCUCCUUUGUAAGCUCGUUGAGAGGUGCAGCAAUGGUGCCGAAAUCUCUCACAAAACGCCUAUAGAAACCAGCGAGGCCAAGGAAACUCCUCACUUGUGUGACCGUUUUGGGCUGCGGCCAACUCUCAAUAGCUUCAAUCUUGGCUUUAUCAACUUCAAUUCCCUGUGGAGUAACAACAUAGGCAAGAAAAGAUACUCGGUCGGUGCAAAAGGUGCACUUUCCAAGGUUUCCAAACAAACGUGCAUCACGUAGAGCAAUAAAAACAGCACGUAAAUGUUCCAAAUGUUCCUCCAAAGAUUUGCUAUAAAUCAAUAUGUCAUCAAAGUAAACUACCACAAAUCGUCCAAUGAAAGCACGUAAAACUUCGUUCAUUAACCUCAUGAAAGUACUAGGUGAUAGAGGCAAAGGUGUCCCGUCUUUCGAUGAGAUGAUGGAUAUCGCUUUGGUGGAAGCUGACUUUGACGAUCCGACUACGAACGUGUGAGGACGUCGCGCCUUAGCAAUCGCUAAACCAACUCCGAGAUGUUAUUGACCACGCCGGAGCACGAUCAACCUGACCACGAGGGUCUGUUUCCUGCGAGCAAACGAAGAACAAGCAAGAAACUAAGAUUGCAAUCUGGAUAUUGCGAAUAUAAGAUGAAAGCUUUAUUGAUCAAGGUGGGGUUCUGUGACGCCUUUGUCUGGUCGUUGAACACAAACGAAGUACGCGAAGUUGCAGCUAUGGCGAACUUUUAAUCUAAACAAAACCCAAAGUCUAAACGGUGCCCUAAGGGCUGUAUAUAUGGAGGAAGAGAGGGGGAAUUUCGUGGCCCUUGGUGGAGGGGUCCGAAAUCAACCCUAUCUCUUGUUUCCCCACACAUACGGACUCUAAAAAUAGCCUAUACUUAUGUAUUUCGAAAUUACAUGGGCCUGGCCCAAUAAAAAGGUGACGCAGCACCUAUAAUAGCCUCGGGACGAAAUUUAUGAAGUGGCAUCUUGUAUAUUUCGUCCAUGGCUUCAUGCACCCAUUAUGGUGGCUUCAAAGUCCUGAAAUCAUCACUUGUAACUCCGUUCUUAUUCCCCUUGCGCAUGGCAUCAUCUCCAUGCUUGUUCUUGCUCCAAUGUUCAUCCUUCUCCAAGCUAGGCCCUUCAUUUGUAAGCAAAACAAAUGUAUCCAAUUUAGGAAGCAUCAUAUUCUCAUGAACAUUAGAAUCAUUACCAAGAAACGAAAGUACCUGAUAAUUUAAUUGGGGUGCGCGAGCUCUAGUAAUUGGUCCCAUAUAUGUAGCAGUAGGGGCUGUGGGUGUAACAAUGGUAUUGAUGUCCUCAUCAUCCUCCCCUUCUUGAAAUGAAGUCGUCCUCGACGGAAACUCAUUUUCCUCACCCAAAUAAGGCUUCAAAUCUGCAAUGUUAAAAGUGGGACUAACCCCAAAAUGUGCAGGCAGCUCAAGUUUAUAUGCAUUAUCAUUUAUUUUCUCUAACACCUUAAAGGGACCAUCAACACGUGGCAUUAGCUUUGAUUUGCGCAAAUCAGGAAAUCUAUCCUUACGCAAAUGUAACCAAACAAGAUCUCCAGGUGCAAACACAACAUGUUUUCUACCCUUAUCUCCAGCAAGUUUAUAUUUAGCAUUCAUACGCUCAAUGUUUUCCUUAGUUAACUCAUGCAUUUUUAAAAUCAAUUCAGCACGUUGUUUAGCAUCAAAAUUAACCUUCUCCGAAGAUGGAAGAGGCAACAAAUCAAUAGGUGCACGAGGUAGGAAACCAUACACAACUUCAAAAGGGCACAUCUUAGUAGUAGAAUGCAAUGAACGAUUAUAAGCAAAUUCAAUAUGAGGCAAGCAUUCCUCCCACAUUUUCUUAUUAUUCUUCAAAACAGCCCUAAGCAUAGUAGACAACGUUCUAUUGACUACUUCAGUUUGUCCAUCAGUUUUGGGGUGACAAGUAGUACUAAAAAGCAGUUUAGUCCCCAACUUAGCCCAUAAACAUCUCCAAAAGUGGCUAAGAAAUUUAGUAUCACGAUCUGAAACAAUAGUAUUUGGCACACCAUGCAAGCGAAUAAUUUCACGAAAGAACAAACCAACAACAUUAACAGCAUCAUCGCUUUUAUGACAUGGUAUAAAGUGUGCCAUUUUCGAGAAUCUAUCCACGACAACAAAUAUGCUAUCCCUCCCCUUCUUUGUUCGAGGUAAACCUAAAACAAAGUCCAUAGAUAUAUCCUCCCAAGGAACACUAGGUACAAGCAAAGGCAUAUAUAAACCAUGAGGAUUGAGUCGUGACUUAGCUUUUUGACAUGUAGUGCAUCGAGCAAUAAAACGCUCAACAUCCCGUCUCAUCUUUGGCCAAAAGAAAUGUGUAGCAAGUACGUCCUCCGUCUUCUUCACACCAAAGUGUCCCAUUAAUCCUCCUCCAUGCGCCUCCUGCAACAACAAAAGACGAACGGAGCUAGCUGGAAUGCAUAGCUUGUUAGCACGAAACACAAAUCCAUCUUUAACGACGAACUUGUUCCACAUUCUUCCUUCUUUACAAUUCUGCAUUACAUCUUUAAAAUCAGCAUCAUGCACAUAUUGAUCUUUGAUGGUCUCCAAACCAAAUAUUUUGAAGUCAAGUUGUGAAAGCAUAGUAUAGCGGCGAGACAAUGCAUCAGCAAUAACAUUUUCUUUUCCCUUCUUGUGUUUAAUGACAUAAGGAAAAGUCUCAAUGAAUUCAACCCAUUUAGCAUGUCUACGAUUCAGUUUAGCUUGACUUUUAAUAUGUUUCAAAGAUUCAUGAUCAGAAUGUAUAACAAAUUCUUUGGGCCAUAAAUAAUGUUGCCAUGUUUCUAAAGUCCGAACAAGAGCAUAUAAUUCUUUAUCAUAAGUAGAAUAAUUCAGACUAGGCCCACUCAAUUUUUCAGAAAAGUAUGCAACAGGUUUGCCAUCUUGUAAUAACACACCGCCUAAUCCAAUUCCACUAGCAUCACAUUCAAGCUCAAAAGUCUUAUUAAAAUCAGGAAGUUGGAGUAAAGGAGCAUGUGUCAACUUAUCUUUCAGUACCGAGAAGGCUUCUUCCUGUGCGGUACCCCAAAGAAAAGGCACAUCUUUCUUUGUAAGCUCAUUGAGAGGUGCAGCAAUGGUGCUGAAAUCUCUCACAAAACGCCUAUAGAAUCCAGCGAGGCCAAGAAAACUCCUCACUUGUGUGACCGUUUUGGGUUGCGGCCAACUCUCAAUAGCUUCAAUCUUGGCUUUAUCAACUUCAAUUCCCUGUGGAGUAACAACAUAGCCAAGAAAAGAUACUCGGUCGGUGCAAAAGGUGCACUUCCCCAGGUUACCAAACAAACGUGCAUCACGUAGAGCAAUAAAAACAGCACGUAAAUGUUCCAAAUAUUCUUCCAAAGAUCUGCUAUAAAUCAAUAUGUCAUCAAAGUAAACUACCACAAAUCGUCCAAUGAAAGCACGUAAAACUUCGUUCAUUAAUCUCAUGAAAGUACUAGGUGCAUUAGUUAACCCAAAAGGCAUGACUAACCACUCAUAUAAUCCAAACUUAGUUUUGAAUGCUGUUUGCCAUUCAUCUCCCAAUUUCAUACGAAUUUGAUGGUAUCCACUACGCAAAUCAACUUUGGAGAAUAUUGUAGAGCCACUCAAUUCAUCAAGCAUAUCAUCUAGCCUAGGAAUAGGAUGACGAUAACGAAUAGUAAUAUUAUUAAUGCUUCUACAAUCAACACACAUACGUGAUGUACCAUCCUUUUUCGGCACUAGAAUAAUAGGAACAACACAAGGACUAAGGGAUUCGCGUAUAUAACCUUUGUCGAGAAGCUCUUGUACUUGACGCAUAAUCUCCUUCGUCUCCUCUGGAUUGGUACGGUAUGGUGCACGGUUUGGCAGUGAAGCACCGGGAAUUAAGUCAAUCUGAUGCUCAAUCCCUCGAAUAGGCGGUAAUCCCGGUGGCACGUCUUGUGGAAAGACGUCAGCGAACUCCUGCAAAAUGUUAAUGACAGCAGGAGGCAAAGAGGAAGGCACGUCCUCGAAUGAAAAUAAUGCCUCUUUGCACACAAAAGCAUAGCAAACAGAUUUGCUGAAAUCUAGCUCAUCAAUAUCAGAUUUGGUGGCAAAUAAACAUGCACUUUUCAAUUUAAUUUCAGAAGCAACACUAGAUGGUUUAUUAUUAGGCUUCAUUUGUUGCUCAAAUUCUUUUGCCACAAUCUGAUUUUCACUCUUAUUCGUCUCCUGUUUUGCUUUAUUAGCUCUAUUAAUAUCAUCUUUCAAAAUGGAAUCAGGAGUCAUGGGAAGCAAAGUAAUAUUUUUAUCCUUAUGAACAAGAGUAUAGUGAUUGUUUCUACCAUGGUGUACAGAAUUUUUAUCAAAUUGCCAUGGUCUACCAAGUAAUAAGGAACAUGCUUGCAUAGGUACCACAUCACAAUCAACAUAAUCAGCAUAUGUAGAGAUAUUAAAAUGCACACGAACAGUACGUGUUACCUUAACCUUGCCGCUGUUGUUGAACCAUUGGAUGUAGUAAGGAUGUGGAUGUGGUCUUGUGGUGAGAGAAAGCUUCUCCACCAUCUUCAUGCUAGCCAAGUUGUUGCAGCUCCCUCCGUCUAUGAUGACGCGCACAGAACGUUCCUUCACAACUCCCUUGGUAUGGAACAAAUUGUGCCUCUGAUUUUGCUCAGCUUGUGUGAUCUGCACACUCAAAACACGUUGAGCAACUAAACAUUCAUACCUGUCAGCGUCUUCAGGAGUCAUGUAUUGCGUCUCAUGAUCAGAAUCAUCUCCAUCAUGUUCUUCAUGUGUAAUAAGAGCCAAAGUCUCCUCAUCAUAGUCACUAGCAGACUCAUAUCCACCAUCCGCGGUAGCAAUCAUCACACGCCGAGAUUUGCACUCCCUCGCAUAAUGACCUCCUCCCUUACAACGACGACAAAUAAUAUCACUUGUGUGCCCUGUUGAUGCCAUGGAAGAAGAAGAACGCUAUGCAGGCCCCGCAGGUGCGCUCUUGGCAGAUAAUGGUGGUUGUGCUUGUUUUCUUGUAUCACGGCUGGAGGUGGCACCGGAUGGAGGUGUUGGUGCAGUUGAAGUAGAAGAUGCACGUGGUGUCCAUGAUGAAGGUCGGCCUGCAGAAAAGUUAGUUCGCCCCAAUGCUUGUCGAUCCUGCACUUCACGUUCAGCUUUACAAGCAAGAUGGAAUAAACGAGUGAUAUUAGUAUACUCCUUAUAGUCUAGAAUGGUCUGAAUCUCUCUAUUUAAUCCACCCAGAAAACGUGCAAGCAUAGCUUCAUUCUCCUCAACAAUACCACAUCUAAUCAUGCCAGUUUGUAAUUCCUGAUAAUAUUCUUCUACAGAAUUUUUCCCUUGUCUUAAACGCUGCAAUUUUUGAAGCAAUUCACGUUGAUAAUAUGGUGGAACCCAACGCGUACGCAUAGCAGUUUUCAAAGCAGCCCAAGUAGUUGGAAUAGGAUAUAAUCUACAAUGUUCAGACCACCAUACACAUGCAAAACUAGUGAAAGCACAAACAGCAGCAGCAACUCGUCUCUCCUCAGGAUAUUGUAAACAUGUAAAUCGUUGUUCAGUUUCUAACUCCCAAGUAAGAUAUAUACCAGGAACAUAUCUACCCUCAAAUGGUGGAAUAUUCAAUUUUAGUUUAGGAAUAUGGACAUCAUCUCGUACCUGAGGUGGUGGUGCAGGCCUACCAUUAUGAAUAUAUACCUGAGGUCGACCUGCUGGUGGUGGUACAGGUGGCUGCACGUAGUGCUGAUUUUGAUCAACCUCAUCCUCAUAAUCUCCCACAUAAUCAUCCUCCUCCGCAUCAGCAGUAGGAGCCACAGAAGUAUCAACAGCAGCACCAACAGUUUUGCCAAACGCAAGAGGAACACGGCUUGCUCGGCGGAGGUCUGUUUCGCGACGUGGAGGUAGUCGUUGUUGUUGUUGUUGUUGUUGUUGGAGAGGUGCGUUAGGUGCAGCGGGUGGUGGUGGUGGAAGACGCGCGAGCAAUUCAUUAAACUUGUUAUCGAGCUUUGUUUCGAACGUCUUCUCAAGGCCAGUGAUCUUCUCCAUGGCCUCUUCAAAAUUGUUCAGCACAUCUUGCACCUGUUCAGUCAUCAUUUGCUGAAACUUAUCAUGAAGCUCCUUCUUCGAUAAAUUCUCCCAGUCAAUCUCGUCGGCUUGUGAUCCUAGCAUGGUUAGCAGCAAUAGAAACACACAAGAAUAUGAUCCUACAGACUACGAACAAGUGGUGGUGGUGGGUGUCACAAAUCCGUCAAGCAAAACUCAAAUUCUUACCAGUUCUUACCCAGCAACAGGCGGUGAUCGGCAACCAUUGUAGUCAAAACUCUCAAAGCUUGGAUAGAGCGAUUACCAGGGAGAGUCAAACGCACGACGUAGAUGUAUGUGUUGCUGGGAAGGCUUAUAAUAUGGUAGCAAAAAGGGUCAGCAAUAAUCAAUUCAGAGAUGCAAAGUUGAAUAAACGCUCAACGACGGUACUGUGCUGGUCCUAGGCUAGACUAUGCUAGAGACGCGAGCCUAGAACACCAACAAAAUCACGGCGCGGCACGUAAACAAGGGAGGAGCACACUCUGAAUUUUUUUUCUCUUUUUUUUUGCACUUUUUUCCCUUUUUUUUGCUCCGCAACAAAUUUUUUCGAAAAAGUCUACAAAUGGUCUAAAAACUGCCUAGCCAGAAUUUUCCAGACUAUUUUUUGAAAUUGGAACUAUUUUUCUUCUGCGGAUGGCUCGGAAGUUGGGGAGUCCUUCUCUGUCACGACUCAGAGUAUCGCGUGAUAUGGAAAUCGAGAACAAUGCAACAAUUACAGGACUCGGCCUAGGACUGGUGGCGGAGAUGAAUCUGGUGGAACUCGGACUAGUGGCGGAGAUGAAUCUGGUGGAACACGGACAGGUGGCGGAUAUAUGUUGCAGGUGAACUCGGAUUGGCGUGAUGGCGGCGGAUAUGUGGUGGCGUAUAUGGAUUCGGAUUGGCGGUGAAUAUGUGGUGGUGGUAUAUGGCAACAGCGACGAUGAUGAUGUGAUGGUGAUAUAUGGCAGCGGCGACGUGACAACCUGUGAACAGAACUCGAAACUCUAAAAGACUAGACGCUAAAACCAGCAACUGGACACGACGAUGCAACCGCAAAUUCAACAAAGAAAAUACAGAAAAGAUUAUGCAAGGCUCAGAUUGGUUCAGAUGGGAUGAACUAACCCUAAUUUUUUUUUGGCUUUUUCGUGGACUAUAGGUAUGAAGAACAGACUCGAUCUAAACUACGAAAAACUGUAAAAUCUCACCGAGCAACCUGGUAAUCUGAUACCACUUGAUAGAGGCAAAGGUGUCCCGUCUUUCGAUGAGAUGAUGGAUAUCGCUUUGGUGGAAGCCGACUUUGACGAUCCGACUACGAACGUGCGAGGACGUCGCGCCUUAGCAAUCGCUAAACCAACUCCGAGAGGUUAUUGACCACGCCGGAGCACGAUCAACCUGACCACGAGGGUCUGUUUCCUGCGAGCAAACGAAGAACAAGGAAGAAACUAAGAUUGCAAUCUGGAUAUUGCGAAUAUAAGAUGAAAGCUUUAUUGAUCAAGGUGGGGUUCUGUGACGCCUUUGUCUGGUCAUUGAACACAAACGAAGUACGCGAAGUUGCAGCUAUGGCGAACUUUUAAUCUAAACAAAACCCAAAGUCUAAACGGUGCCCUAAGGGCUGUAUAUAUGGAGGAAGAGAGGGGGAAUUUCGUGGCCCUUGGUGGAGGGGUCCGAAAUCAACCCUAUCUCUUGUUUCCCCACACAUACGGACUCUAAAAAUAGCCUAUACUUAUGUAUUUCGAAAUUACAUGGGCCUGGCCCAAUAAAAAGGUGAUGCAGCACCUAUAAUAGCCUCGGGACGAAAUUUAUGAAGUGGCAUCUUGUAUAUUUCGUCCAUGGCUUCAUGCACCCAUUAUGGUGGCUUCAAAGUCCUGAAAUCAUCACUUGUAACUCCGUUCUUGUUCCCCUUGCGCAUGGCAUCAUCUCCAUGCUUGUUCUUGCUCCAAUGUUCAUCCUUCUCCAAGCUAGGCCCUUCAUUUGUAAGCAAAACAAAUGUAUCCAAUUUAGGCAGCAUCAUAUUCUCAUGAACAUUAGAAUCAGUACCAAGAAACGAAAGUACUUGAUAAUUUAAUUGGCGUGCGCGAGCUCUAGUAAUUGGUCCCAUAUAUGUAGCAGUAGGGGCUGUGGGUGUAACAAUGGUAUUGAUGUCCUCAUCACUAGGUGCAUGAUGAGGACAUCAAUAUAAUUGUUACACCCACAGCCCCUGCUGCUAUACAUACUGGACCAAUUACUAGAGCUCGUGCACGCCAACUAAAUUACCAGGUACUUUCGUUUCUUGGUAAUGAUUCUAAUGUUCAUGAGAAUAUGAUGCUGCCUAAAUUGAAUACAUUUGUUAUGCUUACAAAUGAAGGGCCUAGCUUGGAGAAGGAUGAACAUUGGAGCAAGAACAAGCAUGGAGAUGAUGGCAUGCGCAAGGGGAACAAGAACGGACUUACAAGUGAUGAUUUCAGGACUUUGAAGCCACCAUAAUGGGUGCAUGAAGCCUUGGACGAAAUAUACAAGAUGCCACUUCAUAAAUUUCGUCCUGAGGCUAUUUUAGGUGCUGCGUCACCUUAUUAUUGGGCCAGGCCCAUGUAAUUUCGAAAUACAUAAGUAUAGGCUAUUUUUAGAGUACGUAUGUGUGGGGAAACAAGAGAUAGGGUUGAUUUCGGACCCCUCCACCAAGGGCCACGAAAUUCCCCCCUCUUCCUCCAUAUAUACACCUUCAGGUUUUGUUGUUGCAGGAUGACGAUAACGAAUAGUAAUAUUAUUAAUGCCUCUACAAUCAACGCACAUACGUGACGUGCCAUCCUUUUUCGGCACUAAAAUGAUAGGAACAACACAAGGACUAAGGGAUUCGCGUAUAUAACCUUUGUCGAGCAGUUCUUGUACUUGACGCAUAAUCUCCUUUGUCUCCUCUGGAUUGGUACGGUAUGGUGCACGGUUGGGUAGCGAAGCACCGGGAAUUAAGUCAAUUUGAUGCUCAAUCCCGCGAAUAGGUGGUAAUCUCGGUGGCACGUCUUGUGGAAAGACGUCAGCGAACUCCUGCAAAAUGUUAGUGACAGCAGGGGGCAAAGAGGAAGGCACGUCCUCGAAUGAAAAUAAUGCCUCUUUGCACACAAAAGCAUAGCAAACAGAUUUGCUAAAAUCUAGCUCAUCAAUAUCAGAUUUGGUGGCAAGUAAACAUGCACUUUUCAAUUUAAUUUCAGAAACAACAGUAGAUGGUGUAUUAUUAGGCUUCAUUUGGUGCUCAAAUUCUUUUGCCACAAUCUGAUUUUCACUCUUAUUUGUCUCCUGUUUUGCUUUAUUAGCUCUAUUAAUAUCAUCUUUCAAAAUGGAAUCAGGAGUCAUAGGAAGCAAAGUAAUAUUCUUAUCGUUAUGAACAAGAGUAUACUGAUUGUUUCUACCAUGGUGUACAGAAUUUUUAUCAAAUUGCCAUGGUCUACCAAGUAAUAAGGAACAUGAUAGAGGCGGGGUGUCCCGAUCUUUCGAUGAGAUGAUAACUAUCGAUUUGGUGGAGAUGACUUUGACGAUCCGACUACAAACGUGCAACGACGUUGUGCCUUAGCAAUCGCUAAACCAACUCCGAGAGGUUAUUGACCACGCCGGAGCACGAUCAACCUGACCACGAAGGUCUAUUCCUGCAAGCAAUCGAAGAACAAGCAAGAAUAUGAUAAAAGCAAUUUGAAUAUCGCGAAUAUGUAUGAAGUAUUGAUAAUGGUGGGGAUCCGAAAAGUGGUCUUGGUCUGGUCGUUGGACACAAACGAAGCACACGAAGUUGCAAUGGCUAACUUUUAACUAAACAAAUCCGAACGAAAAGCUACUAGAUGGAUCUACUUAUAUAGGAGCAAGGGGUAGCGGCCAAGGAGGUGGGAGGACGUCCCAAGGCAGCCUAAAACUAAAUCUAGGUCGUACAAGGCCAAUGGGCCCAAGUGGAGGUGAUGUAACACCUUUGGACUUGUAGUUUGACUCGGAUUCUGCUGCAGCAUCAGAUUGUUUCGAACACAACUCAACGCUCCGGAUGAAUUUGAAGGUGAUUCCAAUUGGGUUGGAAAGUGCACGAAAUCUAGUUUCCAACAAAAAAAGAAUCACCCAAUUCGGAGUCCGUAUGAAAAACUUGUGUGCGUUUUGAGUCAGGUAUGUCUGUGCAGUCCGAAUCUGAAUCCAGAAGGUGAGAGACUUGGACUCUAUCUUCUCUUGGGCCAAAAGUGACGUGAGAGAACUUUUUGGACAGCAAAUAAACAUCUCUUUCUUCCUUAUCUUCAUAUGUGGAUUGUACAAAUGUCCCAUACACCUGCAAUUAGACAAAACACAAAAGUGUGUGAAGUAUUUUUGUUCGAGAUAACAUAAAUAGAUUAUUGAAUAGUUUGCACUAGAAAUCACCUGACAAAUAUGCAUAUAUGCAAUAUUUUCGGUCAUAUCCAAGGUAGUCGUGUCCUCAUCAGAACAUGCUUGCAUAGGUACCACAUCACAAUCAACAUAAUCAGCAUAUGUAGAGAUACUAAAAUGCACACGAACAGUACGUGUUACCUUAACCUUGCCGCUGUUGUUGAACCAUUGGAUGUUGUAAGGAUGUGGAUGUGGUCUUGUGGUGAGAGAUAGAUUCUCCACCAUCUCCAUGCUAGCCAAGUUAUUGCAGCUCCCUCCAUCUAUGAUCACGCGAACAGAACGUUCCUUCACAACUCCCUUUGUAUGGAACAAAUUAUGCCUCUGAUUUUGCUUAGCUUGUGUAACCUGCACACUCAAAACACGUUGAGCAACUAAACAUUCAUACCUGUCAGCAUCUUCAGGAGCCAUGUAUUGCGUCACAUGAUCAGAAUCGUCUCCACCAUGUUCUUCACGUGUAAUAAGAGCCAAGGUCUCCUUAUCGUAGUCACUAGCGGACUCAUACCCACCAUCCUCAGUAACAAUCAUCACACGCUUAGAUGGGCAUUCUCUCGCAUAAUGACCUCCACCCUUGCAACGUCGACAAAUAAUAUCAUGUGUUUGCCCUGUUGAUGCCAUGGAUGAAGAAGAGCUCUUUGCAGGCCCAGAAGGUGUGCUCUUCGCAGAUAGUGGUGAUUGUGCCUGCUUUAUUGUAUCACGGUUGGAGGUGGCAGCCGACGGAGGCGCCGGUGUAGCAGAACGUGUGGAAGUAGAUGAUGCACGUGGUGUCCAUGAUGAAGGUCGACCUGCAGAAAAGUUAGUCCGCGCCAAUGCCUGUCGAUCCUGCACUUCACGUUCAGCUUUACAAGCAAGAUGGAAUAAGCGAGUGAUAUUAGUAUACUCCUUAUACUCUAGAAUCGUCUGAAUCUCUCUAUUUAAUCCACCCAUAAAACGUGCAAGCAUAGCUUCAUUCUCCUCAACAAUACCACAUCUAAUCAUGCCAGUUUGUAAUUCCUGAUAAUAUUCUUCUACAGAAUUGUUCCCCUAUCUUAAGCGCUGCAAUUUUUGAAGUAAUUCACGUUGAUAAUAUGGUGGAACCCAACGAGUACGCAUAGCAGUUUUCAAAGCAGCCCAAGUAGCCGGAAUAGGAUAUAAUCUACAAUGCUCAGACCACCAAACACAUGCAAAACUAGUGAAUGCACAAACAGCAGCAGGAACACGUCUCUCCUCGGGAUACUGUAAACAUGUAAAUCGUUGUUCAGUUUCUAACUCCCAAGUAAGAUAUAUAUCAGGAACAUAUCUACCCUCAAUGAUGAGGACAUGAAUACCUUGGAUACGACCAAAAAUAUUGCAUACAUGCAUAUUUGUCAGGUGAUUUCUAAUGCAAACUAUUCAAUAAUCUAUUUAUGUUAUCCAGAACAAAAAUACUUCACACAUUUUUGUGUUUUGUCUAAUUGCAGGUGUAUGGGACAUUUGUACAAUCCACAUAUGAAGAUAAGGGAAAAGGAGAAGUUCAGGUUGUGUUCAAAAAGUCCUCUCACGUCACUUUUGGGCCAAGAGAAGAUAGAGUCCAAGUCUCUCACGUUUUGGAUUCAGAUUCGGACUGCACAGACAUACCUGACUCAAAACGCCAACAACUUUUUCAUACGGACUCCGAAUUGGGCGAUUCUUUUUUUUUGUUGGAAACUAGAUUUCGUGCUCUUUCCAACCCAAUUGGAUUCACCUUCAAAUUCGUCCGGAGCGUUGAGUUACGGACGAAACAAUCUGACAUUGCAGCAGAAUCCGAGUCAAACUACAAGCCCAAAGGUGUUGCAUCACCUCCACUUGGGCCCAUGAGCCUUGUACGACCUAGGGUUAGUUUUAGGCUGCCUUGGGACGUCCUCCCACCUCCUUGGCCACCACCCCUUGCUCCUAUAUAAGUAGAUCCAUCUAGUAGCUUUUUCCUUGGGAUUUGUUUAGUUAAAAGUUAGCCAUUGCAACUUCGUGUGCUUCGUUUGUGUCCAACGACCAGACCAAGACCACUUUUCGGAUCCCCACCAUUAUCAAUACUUCAUACAUAUUCGCGAUAUUCAGAUUGCUUUUAUCAUAUUCUUGCUUGUUCUUCGAUUGCUUGCAGGAAUAGACCUUCGUGGUCAGGUUGAUCGUGCUCCGGCGUGGUCAAUAACCUCUCGGAGUUGGUUUAGCGAUUGCUAAGGCGCAACGUCGUGCACGUUUGUAGUCGGAUCGUCAAAGUCGUCUCCACCAAAUCGAUAGUUAUCAUCUCAUCGAAAGAUCGGGACACCCCGCCUCUAUCAAGUGGAUGAUGAGGACAUGAAUACCUUGGAUACGACCAAAAAUAUUGCAUACAUGCAUAUUUGUCAGGUGAUUUCUAAUGCAAACUAUUCAAUAAUCUAUUUAUGUUAUCCAGAACAAAAAUACUUCACACAUUUUUGUGUUUUGUCUAAUUGCAGGUGGAUGGGACAUUUGUACAAUCCACAUAUGAAGAUAAGGGAAAAGGAGAAGUUCAGGUUGUGUUCAAAAAGUCCUCUCACGUCACUUUUGGGCCAAGAGAAGAUAGAGUCCAAGUCUCUCACGUUUUGGAUUCAGAUUCGGACUGCAAAGACAUACCUGACUCAAAACGCCAACAACUUUUUCAUACGGACUCCGAAUUGGGCGAUUAUUUUUUUUGUUGGAAACUAGAUUUCGUGCUCUUUUCAACCCAAUUGGAUUCACCUUCAAAUUCGUCCGGAGCGUUGAGUUACGGACGAAACAAUCUGACAUUGCAGCAGAAUCCGAGUCAAACUACAAGCCCAAAGGUGUUGCGUCACCUCCACUUGGGCCCAUGAGCCUUGUACGACCUAGGGUUAGUUUUAGGCUGCCUUGGGACGUCCUCCCACCUCCUUGGCCGCCACCCCUUGCUCCUAUAUAAGUAGAUCCAUCUAGUAGCUUUUUCCUUGGGAUUUGUUUAGUUAAAAG